AUCCUUUCAGAGUUCAAAGGCUUGACAUUUUAAGUUUUCACACACACAUAUGAGAUGUGCCUCCCUCAAAUGUUGUCACGACAUCGGUACAUUGCCAUCUGAUG
Callithrix jacchus (white-tufted-ear marmoset) is the source of this 104-nucleotide small nucleolar RNA. The record is from Ensembl. NCBI's taxonomy places the organism in Eukaryota, Metazoa, Chordata, Mammalia, Primates, Cebidae.